AAUGGGGGAAACCCUGAUGCAGCGAUGCCGCGUGAGUGAAGAAGGCCCUUGGGUUGUAAAACUCUUUCGUCGGGGAAGAAGAUGACUGUACCCGAAUAAGAAGGUCCGGCUAACUUCGUGCCAGCAGCCGCGGUAAUACGAAGGGACCUAGCGUAGUUCGGAAUUACUGGGCUUAAAGAGCUCGUAGGUGGUUAAAAAAGUUGAUGUGAAAUCCCAAGGCUCAACCUUGGAACUGCCAUCAAAACUUUUUAGCUAGAGUGUGAUAGAGGUAAGUGGAAUUUCUAGUGUAGAGGUGAAAUUCGUAGAUAUUAGAAAGAACACCAAAUGCGAAGGCAACUUACUGGGUCACUACUGACACUGAGGAGCGAAAGCAUGGGUAGCGAAGAGGAUU
This 391-nucleotide ribosomal RNA is filed under the name uncultured Gammaproteobacteria bacterium. RNAcentral describes it as "bacterial SSU rRNA". It matches the Rfam family "Bacterial small subunit ribosomal RNA", at positions 370 to 779 of the family's 1533-position model. Lineage: Bacteria; Pseudomonadati; Pseudomonadota; Gammaproteobacteria. The record is from RNAcentral.